CAAUAGCGUAUAUUAAUGUUGUUGCAGUUAAAAAGCUCGUAGUUGGAUUUCUGGUGGGAGCGGCCGGUCCGCCGUAAGGUGUGUACUUGGUUGUCUCCUGUCAUCCUUGUGGGAACUGCUCUGGCAUUAAGUUGUCGGGGUUAGGGAACACAUCGUUUACUGUGAAAAAAUUAGAGUGUUUAAAGCAGGCUUAUGCCGUUGAAUACAUUAGCAUGGAAUAAUAAGAUAGGACUUUGGCGUCUAUUUUGUUGGUUUGCACACCAAGGUAAUGAUUAAUAGGGAUAGUUGGGGGUAUUCGUAUUUAAUUGUCAGAGGUGAAAUUCUUGGAUUUAUGGAAGACGAACUUCUGCGAAAGCAUUUACCAAAGAUGUUUUCAUUA
RNAcentral lists this ribosomal RNA (379 nucleotides) under uncultured eukaryote. RNAcentral's name for it is "partial 18S ribosomal RNA". It matches the Rfam family "Eukaryotic small subunit ribosomal RNA", at positions 592 to 975 of the family's 1831-position model. The record is from RNAcentral.